This 1227-nucleotide ribosomal RNA is filed under the name Salmonella enterica. RNAcentral's name for it is "partial 23S ribosomal RNA". It matches the Rfam family "Bacterial large subunit ribosomal RNA", at positions 1 to 1268 of the family's 2925-position model. The record is from RNAcentral. Lineage: Bacteria; Pseudomonadati; Pseudomonadota; Gammaproteobacteria; Enterobacterales; Enterobacteriaceae.
UUAAGCGACUAAGCGUACACGGUGGAUGCCCUGGCAGUCAGAGGCGAUGAAGGGCGUGCUAAUCUGCGAUAAGCGCCGGUAAGGUGAUAUGAACCGUUAUAACCGGCGAUACCCGAAUGGGGAAACCCAGUGUGAUUCGUCACACUAUCAUUAACUGAAUCCAUAGGUUAAUGAGGCGAACCGGGGGAACUGAAACAUCUAAGUACCCCGAGGAAAAGAAAUCAACCGAGAUUCCCCCAGUAGCGGCGAGCGAACGGGGAGGAGCCCAGAGCCUGAAUCAGCAUGUGUGUUAGUGGAAGCGUCUGGAAAGGCGCGCGAUACAGGGUGACAGCCCCGUACACAAAAGCGCAUGUGCUGUGAGCUCGAUGAGUAGGGCGGGACACGUGGUAUCCUGUCUGAAUAUGGGGGGACCAUCCUCCAAGGCUAAAUACUCCUGACUGACCGAUAGUGAACCAGUACCGUGAGGGAAAGGCGAAAAGAACCCCGGCGAGGGGAGUGAAAAAGAACCUGAAACCGUGUACGUACAAGCAGUGGGAGCACCCGUUUGGGGUGUGACUGCGUACCUUUUGUAUAAUGGGUCAGCGACUUAUAUUCUGUAGCAAGGUUAACCGAAUAGGGGAGCCGGAGGGAAACCGAGUCUUAACCGGGCGUUAAGUUGCAGGGUAUAGACCCGAAACCCGGUGAUCUAGCCAUGGGCAGGUUGAAGGUUGGGUAACACUAACUGGAGGACCGAACCGACUAAUGUUGAAAAAUUAGCGGAUGACCUGUGGCUGGGGGUGAAAGGCCAAUCAAACCGGGAGAUAGCUGGUUCUCCCCGAAAGCUAUUUAGGUAGCGCCUCGUGAAUUCAUCUCCGGGGGUAGAGCACUGUUUCGGCUAGGGGGCCAUCCCGGCUUACCAACCCGAUGCAAACUGCGAAUACCGGAGAAUGUUAUCACGGGAGACACACGGCGGGUGCUAACGUCCGUCGUGAAGAGGGAAACAACCCAGACCGCCAGCUAAGGUCCCAAAGUCAUGGUUAAGUGGGAAACGAUGUGGGAAGGCCCAGACAGCCAGGAUGUUGGCUUAGAAGCAGCCAUCAUUUAAAGAAAGCGUAAUAGCUCACUGGUCGAGUCGGCCUGCGCGGAAGAUGUAACGGGGCUAAACCAUGCACCGAAGCUGCGGCAGCGACACUCAGGUGUUGUUGGGUAGGGGAGCGUUCUGUAAGCCUGUGAAGGUGUGUCGUGAGG